Molecule: ribosomal RNA, 690 nt
Filed under: uncultured Acidobacteriota bacterium
Lineage: Bacteria; Pseudomonadati; Acidobacteriota
Description: bacterial SSU rRNA
Rfam family: Bacterial small subunit ribosomal RNA
Source: RNAcentral
GAUCCUGGCUCAGAAUCAACGCUGGCGGCGUGCCUAACACAUGCAAGUCGAACGCGAAAGCCCCGCAAGGGGUAAGUAGAGUGGCAAACGGGUGAGUAACACGUGGGUGAUCUGCCUCAGAGUGGGGGAUAACGACCCGAAAGGGUCGCUAAUACCGCAUAACAUCCUGCCUUUGGAUAGGUGGAGAUCAAAGUUGGGGAUCCGCAAGGACCUGACGCUUGGAGAGGAGCCCGCGGCCGAUUAGCUAGUUGGUGGGGUAAUGGCUCACCAAGGCAACGAUCGGUAUCCGGCCUGAGAGGGCGGACGGACACACUGGGACUGAGACACGGCCCAGACUCCUACGGGAGGCAGCAGUGGGGAAUUGUUCGCAAUGGGCGCAAGCCUGACGACGCAACGCCGCGUGGAGGAUGAAGAAUUUCGGUUCGUAAACUCCUUUCGAUCGGGAAGAACAGCUUUCAGGUUAAUAGCCUGGGAGUCUGACGGUACCGAGAGAAGAAGCCCCGGCUAACUCUGUGCCAGCAGCCGCGGUAAUACAGGGGGGGCAAGCGUUGUUCGGAAUUACUGGGCGUAAAGGGCUCGUAGGCGGCCAACUAAGUCCGACGUGAAAUCCCAAAGCUUAACUUUGGAACUGCGUCGGAUACUGGAUGGCUUGAAUUCGGGAGAGGGAUGCAGAAUUCCAGGUGUAGCGGU